UUUUUUUUUUUUUUUUUUUUUUUUUUUUUUUUUCAAA
Molecule: non-coding RNA, 37 nt
Filed under: Prorocentrum micans
Lineage: Eukaryota; Dinophyceae; Prorocentrales; Prorocentraceae
Source: RNAcentral